RNAcentral lists this ribosomal RNA (477 nucleotides) under uncultured anaerobic ammonium-oxidizing bacterium. RNAcentral's name for it is "bacterial SSU rRNA". It matches the Rfam family "Bacterial small subunit ribosomal RNA", at positions 365 to 832 of the family's 1533-position model. The record is from RNAcentral.
UUCGCAAUGCCCGAAAGGGUGACGAAGCGACGCCGCGUGUGGGAAGAAGGCCUUCGGGUUGUAAACCACUGUCGGGAGUUAAGAAAUGCAAGGGUGCUAAUAGUAUCCUUGCUUGACUAAGGCUCCGGAGGAAGCCACGGCUAACUCUGUGCCAGCAGCCGCGGUAAUACAGAGGCGGCAAGCGUUGUUCGGAAUUAUUGGGCGUAAAGAGCACGUAGGCGGCUAUGUAAGUCGGUUGUGAAAGCCUUCCGCUCAACGGAAGAACAGCAUCCGAUACUGCAUGGCUUGAGUGCGGGAGGGGAGAGUGGAACUUCUGGUGGAGCGGUGAAAUGCGUAGAUAUCAGAAGGAACGCCGGCGGCGAAAGCGGCUCUCUGGCCCAUAACUGACGCUGAGUGUGCGAAAGCUAGGGGAGCAAGCGGGAUUAGAUACCCCGGUAGUCCUAGCCGUAAACGAUGGGCACUAAGUAGAGGGGUUUU